AACGAACGCUGGCGGCAUGCCUAACACAUGCCAGUCGAACGAGACCUUCGGGUCUAGUGGCGCACGGGUGCGUAACGCGUGGGAACCUGCCCUUAGGUUCGGAAUAACUCCCCGAAAGGGGUGCUAAUACCGGAUAAUGUCUUCGGACCAAAGAUUUAUCGCCUUUGGAUGGGCCCGCGUUGGAUUAACUAGUUGGUAGGGUAAAAGCCUACCAAGGCGACGAUCCAUAGCUGGUCUGAGAGGAUGAUCAGCCACACUGGGACUGAGACACGGCCCAGACUCCUACGGGAGGCAGCAGUGGGGAAUAUUGGACAAUGGGCGAAAGCCUGAUCCAGCAAUGCCGCGUGAGUGAUGAAGGCCUUAGGGUUGUAAAGCUCUUUUACCCGGGAUGAUAAUGACAGUACCGGGAGAAUAAGCUCCGGCUAACUCCGUG
RNAcentral lists this ribosomal RNA (433 nucleotides) under uncultured bacterium. Its description in RNAcentral is "partial 16S ribosomal RNA". It matches the Rfam family "Bacterial small subunit ribosomal RNA", at positions 29 to 507 of the family's 1533-position model. The record is from RNAcentral.